GGAUUGACGUGAUGGUCAUGCCUUAAGGGGUAUGAACUGUUACAGUUGAUUUCUCACCUUCUGGAGAACCGCGAUGUCCUUAAUUGGGUGCCGCGAGGAACCAGGACCUUUACUUUGAAAAAAUUAGAGUGUUUAAAGCAGGCAUUUUGCUUGAAUACAUUAGCAUGGAAUAAUAAAAUAGGACGGCAUGGUUCUAUUUUGUUGGUUUCUAGGAUCACCGUA
Molecule: ribosomal RNA, 222 nt
Filed under: uncultured Entrophospora
Lineage: Eukaryota; Fungi; Glomeromycota; Glomeromycetes; Entrophosporales; Entrophosporaceae
Description: uncultured Claroideoglomus partial 18S ribosomal RNA
Rfam family: Eukaryotic small subunit ribosomal RNA
Source: RNAcentral